RNAcentral lists this ribosomal RNA (238 nucleotides) under uncultured bacterium. RNAcentral describes it as "partial 16S ribosomal RNA". It matches the Rfam family "Bacterial small subunit ribosomal RNA", at positions 15 to 230 of the family's 1533-position model. The record is from RNAcentral.
GAUCCUGGCUCAGGACGAACGCUGGCGGCGUGCUUAACACAUGCAAGUCGAACGAAGAGCGAUGGAAGCUUGCUUCUAUCAAUCUUAGUGGCGAACGGGUGAGUAACGCGUAAUCAACCUGCCCUUCAGAGGGGGACGAACAGUUGGAACGACUGCUAAUACCGCAUACGAUCCAAUCCCGGCAUCGGGACUGGAUGAAAGGUGGCCUCUAUUUAUAAGCUAUCACUGAAGGAGGGGA